RNAcentral lists this transfer RNA (73 nucleotides) under Apiotrichum gracile. Its description in RNAcentral is "tRNA-Arg". It matches the Rfam family "tRNA". From Rfam's summary of the family: Transfer RNA (tRNA) molecules are approximately 80 nucleotides in length. Their secondary structure includes four short double-helical elements and three loops (D, anti-codon, and T loops). Further hydrogen bonds mediate the characteristic L-shaped molecular structure. tRNAs have two regions of fundamental functional importance: the anti-codon, which is responsible for specific mRNA codon recognition, and the 3' end, to which the tRNAs corresponding amino acid is attached (by aminoacyl-tRNA synthetases). tRNAs cope with the degeneracy of the genetic code in two manners: having more than one tRNA (with a specific anti-codon) for a particular amino acid; and 'wobble' base-pairing, i.e. permitting non-standard base-pairing at the 3rd anti-codon position. The record is from RNAcentral. Lineage: Eukaryota; Fungi; Basidiomycota; Tremellomycetes; Trichosporonales; Trichosporonaceae.
GGGAGUAUAGUAUAGCGGUAAAUAUAUGUGACUUCUAAUCACCAUGACACCAGUUCGAGUCUGGUUACUUCCA